AUCCUCGUCCACCCUGCGAGAUGUUCUUCUUGUUCAUCUCCGCGGUCGUGUCGGACGGAUCGUGGUCGCUGCCGGUAAAAAACCCCCCUUCCGGCUCGACUGAAAUUUAAGAGGUAUUACGCACCGUUGCGGCCUGAUCCAAUUGUAAGCUUUAUUUUGCCAUUGGAGACACCCGACACCGCGAACACCCACCACAAACCUUAGAUUCAUUUUAAGC
This 217-nucleotide unclassified non-coding RNA is filed under the name uncultured Ascomycota. RNAcentral's name for it is "sequence contains ITS2". Lineage: Eukaryota; Fungi; Ascomycota. The record is from RNAcentral.